CGAACGCUGGCGGCGUGCCUAAUACAUGCAAGUUGAGCGCUGAAGGUUGGUACUUGUACCAACUGGAUGAGCAGCGAACGGGUGAGUAACGCGUGGGGAAUCUGCCUUUGAGCGGGGGACAACAUUUGGAAACGAAUGCUAAUACCGCAUAAAAACUUUAAACACAAGUUUUAAGUUUGAAAGAUGCAAUUACAUCACUCAAAGAUGAUCCCGCGUUGUAUUAGCUAGUUGGUGAGGUAAAGGCUCACCAAGGCGAUGAUACAUAGCCGACCUGAGAGGGUGAUCGGCCACAUUGGGACGGAGACACGGCCCAAACCCCUACGGGAGGCAGCAGUAGGGAAUCUUCGGCAAUGGACGAAAGUCUGACCGAGCAACGCCGCGUGAGUGAAGAAGGUUUUCGGAUCGUAAAACUCUGUUGGUAGAGAAGAACGUUGGUGAGAGUGGAAAGCUCAUCAAGUGACGGUAACUACCCAGAAGGGGACGGCUAACUACGUG
This 495-nucleotide ribosomal RNA is filed under the name uncultured bacterium. RNAcentral describes it as "partial 16S ribosomal RNA". It matches the Rfam family "Bacterial small subunit ribosomal RNA", at positions 30 to 507 of the family's 1533-position model. The record is from RNAcentral.